RNAcentral lists this ribosomal RNA (497 nucleotides) under uncultured bacterium. RNAcentral describes it as "partial 16S ribosomal RNA". It matches the Rfam family "Bacterial small subunit ribosomal RNA", at positions 28 to 507 of the family's 1533-position model. The record is from RNAcentral.
GACGAACGCUGGCGGCGUGCCUAAUACAUGCAAGUUGAGCGCUGAAGGUUGGUACUUGUACCAAAUGGAUGAGCAGCGAACGGGUGAGUAACGCGUGGGGAAUCUGCCUUUGAGCGGGGGACAACAUUUGGAAACGAAUGCUAAUACCGCAUAAAAACUUUAAACACAAGUUUUAAGUUUGAAAGAUGCAAUUGCAUCACUCAAAGAUGAUCCCGCGUUGUAUUAGCUAGUGGGUGAGGUAAAGGCUCACCAAGGCGAUGAUACAUAGCCGACCUGAGAGGGUGAUCGGCCACAUUGGGACUGGGACACGGCCCAAACUCCUACGGGAGGCAGCAGUAGGGAAUCUUCGGCAAUGGACGAAAGUCUGACCGAGCAACGCCGCGUGAGUGAAGAAGGUUUUCGGAUCGUAAAACUCUGUUGGUAGAGAAGAACGUUGGUGAGAGUGGAAAGCUCAUCAAGUGACGGUAACUACCCAGAAAGGGACGGCUAACUACGUG